Long non-coding RNA from Megalobrama amblycephala (Wuchang bream), 1116 nucleotides. RefSeq lists it as uncharacterized. The record is from RefSeq and is a predicted model, not a curated record. NCBI's taxonomy places the organism in Eukaryota, Metazoa, Chordata, Actinopteri, Cypriniformes, Xenocyprididae. The transcript has 3 exons.
GGAGGCAGCAGCGAUUUCAUGUGUGGGGAUUCUCAGCAGCAGUUUUUCAUUGUCUCUCCAGGUAAGCAGCAGACAGCGAGCAGACAGACUGAGAAUAGAGUCUUGUUCCACACUGGUCUUCAGAGGCAAAACCCUCAGCUUCUAUGGAUGGAAAGAGAGAGGCAGAAUGCAUAAUUUGCUGAAAACUAUCCUUUAAGCCUAAAAUCAACAUUACAAUGACUCUGGUUUGGGGAAUUGCUCUCACCCUGGCUGUGUCCAGAAGCUGGAGCAGCUCGUCUCUGCUCGAUGGGUUCAGGGAACAUGACACCCAUGUCAGGUGUCCCAGGAACUGUUGUCAUAGAUGAGUCUCUCUGGGUGGAUGAGGUAGUCUGGUGGAUAGAGGGGGACCGUGUGAAGGGGUCUACGGUACACGCUGCCUUUGUCCACCUGGCGCCGGCUAGAUUUAGGGAACACCAGACGCUUAAUCGGAGACACAAAUCCCUGAGAGAAGAGUUUGCAUGGGAGAAAACGAGAUAUAAAGUGAGAUAAAAGGGCAGGAUGGCACUGAUGCUGUGGCAAAUGGACAGUUAUCUGUGUGGGAAAUCCAUUGAGUGUCUGUUUAAGUUUGUCCUGCUGCCAGCGAGCUCCAGUCCUCUGAGACGACGCUUUGAACUGAGACGUGGCUCAGCACUGCAGUCUCUGGAAACACAGUCUCAGAAGAAUUGGUACCCGGGACACUGCAUAAUGCCAUAUAGGGUAAUUGAACCCUCUCUGGAACACAUUAUGAGACCUUUGGGUAAAUAAAUAAAUAAAUGUUUGUACUGUUUUUUUCCUACUUAAAAUGGAACACAGUCAAUAUAUGCAUUUUAAAUAUUUCGGAGGAAUUUUGUUGCCUUAAGCAAUCAGUAAAAAAUGAACACUGCCAGACUGUGCAUCACAUAUAAAAAAAAAAAUGCAUAAUUUUUUUUAAAUGAAAUUAAUAAUUUAAUUCAGCAAGGACACAUUAAAUUGAUUGAAAGUAACAGUGAAGGCAAUGUUACAAAAAAUAUAAAUAUAUUUCAAAUUAAUACUGUUCUUUUGAAGAACCUUGAAAUAUGAUGGUUUCCAAUAAAAUAUUAAGCAGCACAACUUUUUUCA